UCAAGCCCGGCUUGUGUGUUGGGCCCCGUCCUCCGAUCUCCGGGGGACGGGCCCGAAAGGCAGCGGCGGCACCGCGUCCGGU
RNAcentral lists this ribosomal RNA (82 nucleotides) under Penicillium commune. RNAcentral describes it as "partial 28S ribosomal RNA". Lineage: Eukaryota; Fungi; Ascomycota; Eurotiomycetes; Eurotiales; Aspergillaceae. The record is from RNAcentral.